UCCAAUCUUGAGCUUUCCUUCCUUUUUGUUGCUAAUAUUCUUGAAUCCCUCUCCCUGGCAUGUGUACUUGAUAUAAAAUUUCUUCCUACUGUGAUCGCCCACCCGCCCUGAAGGGUAACGAUAAUGGGUACGAGUGGAGAACCCCCUCAUUCUACCAAAUUCAAUCUACCAUGCCUCAUCUUCUGUUUCAUAAUUGAAUACAAUUUUCCUCCAUUCUUGGCGGUCUUUAGGAGAAAGCAAUGUUCCUGACACACAUAACCAUUCUGGGACCGUUACAUAACCGAUACAUGCGCCUAACGUACUUGUAACGACAUUGUUAUGCAAAAAUUAUACGGUACUGACAAAAACAAAACACCAUAAAAAUGAAGAUAGGUCAGGUAAUUCCAUAUAUGUCAUCCAAAAAAAUAGUUUUACACAUUACAACAUAGUCAAUCAUGUAGGAGCACAUAUACUAAAGAUGUACAAAAUUCUUCAACUCACCGAGUUGCAUCUUCAUACAUAUUAAAUCCGUCGUUGAUAUCUUCUUCACUAUCUCCACCUACUUCAUUAAUUUUUUCCACAAAACCUUCACUGCAGUCCUCCAUAAAUGCUUCAUAUCAAUGAUAUAUGUGUGGUUUCAUUUAAGAAAAUUGAUUCAUUAAUGGCGAACAGUGAGAGAGUAAUGGCCAUGUAAGAAGUAAGGAAGAAAGAUGGAGUUCAACAAUUUAAUUGGAAUAAAAUUCCAUCUCG
RNAcentral lists this long non-coding RNA (729 nucleotides) under Linum usitatissimum (flax). RNAcentral's name for it is "long non-coding RNA (LUSI_LNC007902)". The record is from RNAcentral. Lineage: Eukaryota; Viridiplantae; Streptophyta; Magnoliopsida; Malpighiales; Linaceae.